GGAUCAUAUACGGCCGCCAGUGUGCUGAUCGCCCUUAAGUUGAUCCUGGCUCAAUGAACGCUGGCGGCAGGCCUAAGACAUGCAAGUCGAACGGUAACGACACUAGCUUGCUAGUGGGCGACGAGUGGCGGACGGGUGAGUAACGCGUAGGAAUCUACCUAGUAGUGGGGGAUAGCCAAGGGAAACUUUGGGUAAUACCGCAUACGAUCUAAGGAUGAAAGGGGGCCUCUCUUUGAAGCUCUCGCUAUUAGAUGAGCCUGCGUAAGAUUAGCUUGUUGGUGAGGUAAUGGCUCACCAAGGCGACGAUCUUUAGCUGGUCUGAGAGGAUGAUCAGUCACACUGGAACUGAGACACGGUCCAGACUCCUACGGGAGGCAGCAGUCGGGAAUAUUGGACAAUGGGGGAAACCCUGAUCCAGCCAUGCCGCGUGUGUGAAGAAGGCCCUAGGGUUGUAAAGCACUUAUAGUAGUGAGGAAGGCUCAGCAGUUAAUACCUGCUGGGAUUGACGUUAGCUACAGAAAAAGCACCGGCUAAUUUCGUGCCAGCAGCCGCGGUAAUACGAAAGGUGCAAAG
Molecule: ribosomal RNA, 573 nt
Filed under: uncultured bacterium
Lineage: Bacteria
Description: partial 16S ribosomal RNA
Rfam family: Bacterial small subunit ribosomal RNA
Source: RNAcentral